This 226-nucleotide long non-coding RNA is filed under the name Meriones unguiculatus (Mongolian gerbil). RNAcentral's name for it is "Six3os1 conserved region 2 (ENSMUGG00000019582.1)". It matches the Rfam family "Six3os1 conserved region 2". Lineage: Eukaryota; Metazoa; Chordata; Mammalia; Rodentia; Muridae. The record is from RNAcentral.
GUGAGGGGCUGGGCGAAAGGAGGGAGGGGAGAGGAUGGGGAGAACGCGCGCCCCGGGAGCGAAAGCAUACAGCUAGCUCUAGAGGCGCUGCCGCAGCUCGCGCUUCCCAGCAGGUUAGCUAGCCUAGGAUCCACCCGGUAUUUCGCAGGAAGGGGGGGGGGGGUGCGUUGAGAUAGCUAGAGGAGGGGAGAGUCUUCCUGGAGGACAGGGGGAGGGAGAGAGAGCU